This 287-nucleotide unclassified non-coding RNA is filed under the name fungal sp. RNAcentral's name for it is "partial internal transcribed spacer region". The stretch from base 1 to 46 matches the Rfam family "Eukaryotic small subunit ribosomal RNA", at positions 1786 to 1831 of the family's 1831-position model. Lineage: Eukaryota; Fungi. The record is from RNAcentral.
AAGUCGUAACAAGGUUUCCGUAGGUGAACCUGCGGAAGGAUCAUUAACACGUAUCCAAACGUUAAAACCCCCCCCGUGAACCUUCAUCCUGCUCUAAUCAUAGCCCGGAAAGUUGUAGUGAUUCAGAGACCUCUGGCUACGUGCGAACAUUGGACCGUACACUCGGGCAGGAGCUUUGCCAAAGGGUCCCCAUGCCCCCUAAUAACCCCACAGUUUAAUGUGAAGCUCAAUGUAAUACAUUGGGUAAAAAAACCGAACAACUGUUAACAAUGGAUAUCUUGGUUCUC